UUCUAUGGGGCUCUCGGCCCAGUAGG
RNAcentral lists this non-coding RNA (26 nucleotides) under Rattus norvegicus (Norway rat). The record is from RNAcentral. Lineage: Eukaryota; Metazoa; Chordata; Mammalia; Rodentia; Muridae.